RNAcentral lists this ribosomal RNA (530 nucleotides) under uncultured microorganism. RNAcentral's name for it is "bacterial SSU rRNA". It matches the Rfam family "Bacterial small subunit ribosomal RNA", at positions 9 to 521 of the family's 1533-position model. The record is from RNAcentral.
GAGUUUGAUCAUGGCUCAGGAUGAACGCUGGCGGCGUGCCUAAUACAUGCAAGUCGAACGAACAGAUAAGGAGCUUGCUCCUUUGACGUUAGCGGCGGACGGGUGAGUAACACGUGGGGUAACCUACCUAUAAGACUGGGAAUAACUCCGGGAAACCGGGGCUAAUGCCGGAUAACAUGUUGAACCGCAUGGUUCUACAGUGAAAGACGGUCUUGCUGUCACUUAUAGAUGGACCCGCGCCGUAUUAGCUAGUUGGUGGGUAACGGCCUACCAAGGCGACGAUACGUAGCCGACCUGAGAGGGUGAUCGGCCACACUGGAACUGAGACACGGUCCAGACUCCUACGGGAGGCAGCAGUAGGGAAUCUUCCGCAAUGGGCGAAAGCCUGACGGAGCGACGCCGCGUGAGUGAUGAAGGUCUUCGGAUCGUAAAGCUCUGUUGUUAGGGAAGACAAAUGUGUAAGUAACUGUGCAUAUCUUGACGGUACCUAACCAGAAAGCCACGGCUAACUACGUGCCAGCCGCCGCCGU